GUCAACGCUGGCGGUAGGCCUAACACCUGCAAGUCGAACGGCAGCACAGUAAGAGCUUGCUCUUACGGGUGGCGAGUGGCGGACGGGUGAGGAAUACAUCGGAAUCUACUUUUUCGUGGGGGAUAACGUAGGGAAACUUACGCUAAUACCGCAUACGACCUACGGGUGAAAGCAGGGGAUCUUCGGACCUUGCGCGAUUGAAUGAGCCGAUGUCGGAUUAGCUAGUUGGCGGGGUAAAGGCCCACCAAGGCGACGAUCCGUAGCUGGUCUGAGAGGAUGAUCAGCCACACUGGAACUGAGACACGGUCCAGACUCCUACGGGAGGCAGCAGUGGGGAAUAUUGGACAAUGGGCGCAAGCCUGAUCCAGCCAUACCGCGUGGGUGAAGAAGGCCUUCGGGUUGUAAAGCCCUUUUGUUGGGAAAGAAAAGCAGCAGGUUAAUACCCCGCUGUUCUGACGGUACCCAAAGAAUAAGCACCGGCUAACUUCGUG
RNAcentral lists this ribosomal RNA (491 nucleotides) under uncultured bacterium. Its description in RNAcentral is "partial 16S ribosomal RNA". It matches the Rfam family "Bacterial small subunit ribosomal RNA", at positions 32 to 507 of the family's 1533-position model. The record is from RNAcentral.